CCACCUAAUAAUUAAGUAAUAUAGAUAAAAUAAAAUAAGCCUAAAACCAAAAACUAAACCAUUCUUUUACCUGAGUACGGGAGACAGAAAAGGUCCUACCAAAGCAAUAGAAAUAGUACCGCAAGGGAAAGCUGAAAGAGAAAUGAAAUAAUCCAUAUAAGCACUAAGAAGCAAAGAUUAAAUCUUGUACCUUUUGCAUCAUGAUUUAGCCAGUACACCCAAGCAAAGAGACCUUUAGUUUGAAACCCCGAAACCAGGUGAGCUACCCCGAGACAGCCUAUCAAGGGCCAACCCGUCUCUGUGGCAAAAGAGUGGGAAGAACUCCGGGUAGAAGUGACAGACCUACCGAACCUGGUGAUAGCUGGUUGCCUAAGAAGUGAAUAGAAGUUCAGCCUCGUCCUCCCCAAAUCAGAAAUAAAUAAGACCAAGAGAAAUGCACGAGAGUUAGUUAAAGGGGGUACAGCCCCUUUAACAAAGGACACAACCUUUACAGGAGGAUAAAGAUCAUAAUAUAUAAAAUAUACUGUUCUAGUGGGCCUAAAAGCAGCCACCUAAACAGAAAGCGUUAAAGCUCAGACAGAAAGAAGUUUAUUAUUCUGACAAAAAAUCUUACUCCCCUAAAUACUAUUGGGCCAACCCAUGCCUACAUGGAAGAGACUAUGCUAAAAUGAGUAACAAGAAGGCUUGCCCUUCUCCCGGCACAAGUGUAAGCCAAAUCGGACCCACCACUGGCAAUUAACGAACUCAACCCAAGAGAGUAAUGUGGACUACAAAAUAGACCAAGAAGAACCCACAACUAAAUUAUCGUUACCCCCACACUGGAGUGCCAUUUAAAGGAAAGACUAAAAGAAAAGGAAGGAACUCGGCAAACACAAGCCUCGCCUGUUUACCAAAAACAUCGCCUCCUGCAACCCAACUAAGUAUAGGAGGUCCAGCCUGCCCGGUGACCACAAGUUCAACGGCCGCGGUAUUUUGACCGUGCAAAGGUAGCGCAAUCACUUGUCUUUUAAAUAGAGACCUGUAUGAACGGCUAAACGAGGGCUUAACUGUCUUCCCUUUCAAGUCAGUGAAAUUGAUCUGCCCGUGCAGAAGCG
This 1094-nucleotide ribosomal RNA is filed under the name Percocypris regani. RNAcentral's name for it is "partial 16S ribosomal RNA". It matches the Rfam family "Bacterial large subunit ribosomal RNA", at positions 198 to 2063 of the family's 2925-position model. Lineage: Eukaryota; Metazoa; Chordata; Actinopteri; Cypriniformes; Cyprinidae. The record is from RNAcentral.